CCUACGGGUGGCAGCAGUGAGGAAUAUUGGUCAAUGGGCGAGAGCCUGAACCAGCCAAGUAGCGUGAAGGAUUCCUGCCCUCUGGGUUGUCCCCUUCUUUUUUCUGGGAAUAAAAUGUUCCACGUGUGGGAUUUUGUAUGUACCAUAUGAAUAAGGAUCGGCUAACUCCGUGCCAGCAGCCGCGGUAAGUCGGAGGAUCCGAGCGUUAUCCGGAUUUAUUGGGUUUAACGGGAGCGUAGGUGGAUUGUUAAGUCAGUUGUGAAAGUUUGCGGCUCAACCGUAAAAUUGCAGUUGAAACUGGCAGUCUUGAGUACAGUAGAGGUAGGCGGAAUUCGUGGUGUAGCGGUGAAAUGCUUAGAUAUCACGAAGAACUCCGAUUGCGAAGGCAGCUCACUGGACUGUAACUGACACUGAGGCUCGAAAGUGUGGGUAUCAAACAGGAUUAGAUACCCGAGUAGUC
Molecule: ribosomal RNA, 460 nt
Filed under: uncultured bacterium
Lineage: Bacteria
Description: partial 16S ribosomal RNA
Rfam family: Bacterial small subunit ribosomal RNA
Source: RNAcentral